CACCAACAAAAAAAAUUAAUGAGUUCCCACCCCUGCAGUCCUUGUAGGUUGUAAUUAAUCUAAAGCAUGAUCAUUAGCACUUGCUUCCUCAGCAACCUUGCUUUGUGCCCACAUUUGCAAACACUUUCGCAUAUUCAGCUUGUGGAGGACCAGUGGAGUUGGCAGCACCAAGGAAGUGGAGUCAGGAUGCGGCUCCCAGGAUGGACUGACACCUAGUGAAAUUUAACAAGAGACUACUUCAAAAGAAAUGGCAUAACAUUUUUUUAUGCAUUCCUUUUCUAUUUUAAAGUCUGUUCCCUUUAGGCUUUUCCAGUUUCAUGUGACCUCUUGGCUGUGGUUAAGGAAAUAGAAAUGCAAGCCUCUAAUAUUUCUCUCUGUGUGACAUCAUAAUAUUUUUAUGCCUCAGAAAGCACAGUGCCAUCAACCACUUGAAACACAAUUCCUUCAGCAAGUGGGUAGUGUACUCAACGUGUAUAACCACUUCUGGAGCGUCCACUUUUGGAGCAGAACCAGCCUUCCUCUGGCUGCUGCAGCUAAUGCAAGGCGUUGCACAGCACAGGGCCCCACCAGCCGUUUGCACAUCAGCGGUGACAUUCAGCUGAUCCCAAAGGAAAUAACCCCAGGGAAAAUUGCCAUCGUUGUCACGCCCUGCAGAGAGCUGCUUGCUGAGGAAAACGUACUGUCACUCUCAUCAGUUUGACGUUGCAAUUGUAAUGUCACCUCCACAAUAGCCUCUGCAUUGACUUUAUCAUCAAAUUAGUUUUAUAAUCACCUGGAAUAUCAAAGCGAAGGAGAGAGAUCGGCUCCAGGCACAUCUGGGUCCCAGGGAACAGGAGUCUCUCCUAAAAACAGGCAAGGAUGUGCAGGACGGCCACUGGAGUUGCUUUACAUAUUGAGGCAAACCUGGAUGGUGGGAAAGCAAGCACUUGAAAGAUUUGGUACUAGAACAAAAUAUGCAAAAGGAACAAAAAGAAAACAACAACAAAAAUGAACCAACUGCAAAAAUAGCAAAAGUUGCUAGCUUCACCUCUGUGAAAAUUUGCAGUGUUUUAUUUCUGUUGCAGCCUACCCUGCACGGGUACAGCAGAGGGUUGCUGUCGGAAAGGGUUUUUUCAAUUUGCAGUCGGGAGCUGAGUGCUGUGGUCAGGGCAAGGCGAACCCUACAGGGAAGGGGGAGCCCUGGGGACAGCGCAGUCCUGGGAGAUGCAGAAGAAAUGUGAAAUCAAAUCAAUUCUGUCAACAGUUCCCAGCGAAAAAAUAAGGAGGAAGGAAUGCUGAAUCAUUUUAUUUCAAUGUUCUCAAAUGAAAAAUGUUUCACUUAAAU
Molecule: long non-coding RNA, 1324 nt
Filed under: Anser brachyrhynchus (Pink-footed goose)
Lineage: Eukaryota; Metazoa; Chordata; Aves; Anseriformes; Anatidae
Description: lncRNA (ENSABRG00000002836.1)
Source: RNAcentral